Molecule: ribosomal RNA, 440 nt
Filed under: uncultured bacterium
Lineage: Bacteria
Description: partial 16S ribosomal RNA
Rfam family: Bacterial small subunit ribosomal RNA
Source: RNAcentral
CCUACGGGGGGCAGCAGUAGGGAAUAUUGCUCAAUGGGGGAAACCCUGACGCAGCAACGCCGCGUGGAGGAUGAAGGUUUUCGGAUUGUAAACUCCUUUUGUUAGAGAAGAUAAUGACGGUAUCUCACGAAUAAGCACCGGCUAACUCCGUGCCAGCAGCCGCGGUAAUACGGAGGGUGCAAGCGUUACUCGGAAUUACUGGGCGGAAAGAGCGCGUAGGCGGGAUAGCAAGUCAGAUGUGAAAUCCUAUGGCUUAACCAUAGAACUGCAUUUGAAACUGUUAUUCUAGAGUAUGGGAGAGGUAGGUGGAAUUCUUGGUGUAGCGGUGAAAUGCGUAGAGAUCAAGAGGAACACUCAUUGCGAAGGCGACCUGCUAGAACAUAACUGACGCUGAUGCGCGAAAGCGUGGGGAGCAAACAGGAUUAGAUACCCGAGUAGUC